GAUUGAACAUUGGUCCAAAGAGAAAGGAAAUGUAACAAACAAAUCAAGAGAUUCUUGGCUUCAUUCCAACCAACUUUUAUUCAAACAUGUCAGAGUCUUCUAAAACAUCCUUAUAUUUGCUUCUAUCCAAUGCUUAUGAUUGAGCAACAAUUCCCACAUCAGCCUCAUACUGUAAGAAAUGGGCUGCUUAAUCUACAGAGUGCUCGUCGUUGCACUCUUUUGCGUUGCGUUUCUGUCAAUCGGGCUGGAGACUGUCGCGGGGCUGAGAAGCAAAGAUCUUGCUCUAAGAAGGAGGAUUCUGAAUGGUGAUGAUGCCUUGCUAGACAGGAGUAGUGCGCAACUGGAUAUCGCGCCUUCCCCUUCAACCGUGUUUGAUCCUAACGAGUUUCAAAAGAGACACGUUCGCCGUGGACCAGACCCCAUUCACAACAAAUGCUGAUCCAUCUGGAAGAUUUUUAAAUAUAGGUUUGUUUUUGUUUUGAUUGUUUUGUUUGUGUUACAUCAAUUAGGCUAGAAGGAGCAAGCAAAGUAUAGUUUAGACUCUUAACACUUUAGCUUUCAAUGUUUUGUUUAUGAAUCUAGUUAACAUGUAAA
Molecule: long non-coding RNA, 594 nt
Organism: Salvia splendens (bonfire salvia)
Lineage: Eukaryota; Viridiplantae; Streptophyta; Magnoliopsida; Lamiales; Lamiaceae
Exons: 2
Source: RefSeq, a predicted model, not a curated record